GGAAGGAUCAUUAUCAAAAGUCAAGUCGGUGGCUGAUAAAGCCGCCGUCUACACCCAUGUCUUUUGUGUACUCUUGUUUCCUCGGUGGCGUAAGCUGCCGAUUGGACAAACCAAAACCUUUUUGUAAUUGCAAUCAGCGUCUGAAAAAUAUAAUAAUAUUUUACAACUUUCAACAACGGAUCUCUUGGUUCUGGCAUCGAUGAAGAACGCAGCGAAAUGCGAUAAGUAGUGUGAAUUGCAGAAUUCAGUGAAUCAUCGAAUCUUUGAACGCACAUUGCGCCCCUUGGUAUUCCAUGGGGCAUGCCUGUUCGAGCGUCAUUUGUACCCUCAAGCUUUGCUUGGUGUUGGGCGUCUUGUCGGUAUAACGACUCGCCUUAAAUACAUUGGCAGCCGGCACUUUGGCCUAGGAGCGCAGCACAUUUUGCGAUCGUAGUCCGUUGUACUGGCGUCCAAAAGACCCUUUUACCACGUUUGACCUCGGAUCAGGUAGGGAUACCCGCUGAACUUAAGCAUAUCAAUAAGCGGAGGAAAAGAAACCAACAGGGAUUGCCCUAGUAACGGCGAGUGAAGCGGCAACAGCUCAAAUUUGAAAUCUGGCUCUUUCAGAGUCCGAGUUGUAAUUUGCAGAGGGCGCUUUGGCGUUGGCAGCGGUCCAAGUUCUUUGGAACAGGACGUCACAGAGGGUGAGAAUCCCGUACGUGGUCGCUAGCCCUCGCCGUGUAAAGCCCCUUCGACGAGUCGAGUUGUUUGGGAAUGCAGCUCUAAAUGGGAGGUAAAUUUCUUCUAAAGCUAAAUACUGGCCAGAGACCGAUAGCGCACAAGUAGAGUGAUCGAAAGAUGAAAAGCACUUUGGAAAGAGAGUCAAAUAGCACGUGAAAUUGUUGAAAGGGAAGCGCUUGCAGCCAGACUUGCCUGUAGUUGCUUACCUAGACUUUUGUCUGGGGUACUCUUCUGCAGGCAGGCCAGCAUCAGUUUGGGCGGUUGGAUAAAGGUCUCUGUCACGUACCUCUCUUCGGGGAGGCCUUAUAGGGGAGACGUAAUGCAACCAGCCUGGACUGAGGUCCGCGCAUCUGCUAGGAUGCUGGCGUAAUGGCUGUAAGCGGCCCGUCUUGAAACACGGACCAAGGAGUCUAACAUCUAUGCGAGUGUUUGGGUGUCAAGCCCAUACGCGUAAUGAAAGUGAACGGAGGUGGGAACCUUAGGGUGCACCAUCGACCGAUCCUGAUGUCUUCGGAUGGAUUUGAGUAAGAGCAUGGCUGUUGGGACCCGAAAGAUGGUGAACUAUGCUUGAAUAGGGUGAAGCCAGAGGAAACUCUGGUGGAGGCUCGCAGCGGUUCUGACGUGCAAAUCGAUCGUCAAAUUUGGGCAUAGGGGCGAAAGACUAAUCGAACUAUCUAGUAGCUGGUUCCUGC
RNAcentral lists this unclassified non-coding RNA (1412 nucleotides) under uncultured fungus. RNAcentral describes it as "sequence contains 18S rRNA gene, ITS1, 5.8S rRNA gene, ITS2, 28S rRNA gene". The stretch from base 473 to 1412 matches the Rfam family "Eukaryotic large subunit ribosomal RNA", at positions 1 to 961 of the family's 3401-position model. The record is from RNAcentral. Lineage: Eukaryota; Fungi.